RNAcentral lists this ribosomal RNA (1023 nucleotides) under Staphylococcus aureus M0086. RNAcentral describes it as "bacterial SSU rRNA". It matches the Rfam family "Bacterial small subunit ribosomal RNA", at positions 8 to 1012 of the family's 1533-position model. Lineage: Bacteria; Bacillati; Bacillota; Bacilli; Caryophanales; Staphylococcaceae. The record is from RNAcentral.
AGAGUUUGAUCCUGGCUCAGGAUGAACGCUGGCGGUGUGCCUAAUACAUGCAAGUCGAGCGAACGGACGAGAAGCUUGCUUCUCUGAUGUUAGCGGCGGACGGGUGAGUAACACGUGGAUAACCUACCUAUAAGACUGGGAUAACUUCGGGAAACCGGAGCUAAUACCGGAUAAUAUUUUGAACUGCAUGGUUCAAAAGUGAAAGACGGUCUUGCUGUCACUUAUAGAUGGAUCCGCGCUGCAUUAGCUAGUUGGUAAGGUAACGGCUUACCAAGGCAACGAUGCAUAGCCGACCUGAGAGGGUGAUCGGCCACACUGGAACUGAGACACGGUCCAGACUCCUACGGGAGGCAGCAGUAGGGAAUCUUCCGCAAUGGGCGAAAGCCUGACGGAGCAACGCCGCGUGAGUGAUGAAGGUCUUCGGAUCGUAAAACUCUGUUAUUAGGGAAGAACAUAUGUGUAAGUAACUGUGCACAUCUUGACGGUACCUAAUCAGAAAGCCACGGCUAACUACGUGCCAGCAGCCGCGGUAAUACGUAGGUGGCAAGCGUUAUCCGGAAUUAUUGGGCGUAAAGCGCGCGUAGGCGGUUUUUUAAGUCUGAUGUGAAAGCCCACGGCUCAACCGUGGAGGGUCAUUGGAAACUGGAAAACUUGAGUGCAGAAGAGGAAAGUGGAAUUCCAUGUGUAGCGGUGAAAUGCGCAGAGAUAUGGAGGAACACCAGUGGCGAAGGCGACUUUCUGGUCUGUAACUGACGCUGAUGUGCGAAAGCGUGGGGAUCAAACAGGAUUAGAUACCCUGGUAGUCCACGCCGUAAACGAUGAGUGCUAAGUGUUAGGGGGUUUCCGCCCCUUAGUGCUGCAGCUAACGCAUUAAGCACUCCGCCUGGGGAGUACGACCGCAAGGUUGAAACUCAAAGGAAUUGACGGGGACCCGCACAAGCGGUGGAGCAUGUGGUUUAAUUCGAAGCAACGCGAAGAACCUUACCAAAUCUUGACAUCCUUUGACAACUCUAGAGAUAGAGC